Molecule: non-coding RNA, 4881 nt
Organism: Sus scrofa (pig)
Lineage: Eukaryota; Metazoa; Chordata; Mammalia; Artiodactyla; Suidae
Source: RefSeq, a predicted model, not a curated record
CACUCACGUCCUUACCCAGAGUUCCCUAUCCUUCCUUACCCAGAGUUCCCUAUCCUUCCUUACCCAGAGUUCCCUCACUUACGUCCUUACCCAGAGUUCCCUCACCCUCCCUCACCCAGACCUUCCCCCACCCUCCCUCAAUCAUACUUUCCUCACCCCUUUCUUCACUCAGAGUUCCCUCACCUUCUGCUUUUUUUUAAUCAAUCGAGAGAAGAGUUACAACUUUCAUCCAAUUUUUGAAAAGCAAUCCAGAACCCAAAAGGUGAGUCAUCGCAGGCCUGGGACAUCCACAUUCCUUUGUGGACUCAUUCCAGCCGGUAGCUGGAGAAGCUCAUGGGCAGAGGGUUUGGCCAGCCUGGGGCAGCUGUGUGCAUUCAUCAUCAGGGUGGCUCUCUCCCUGGUUCUCACGAGACUUUUCUGCAGCAACACCUCCUUGCUGGGAAUGCCUCCAGAUGAGGAGACUGAGGAUCAGAGAUGUCAGAAACAGGCCCAAGAUCACACAGCCAAAUAGAAGCAAACCCAGGGGGAUAUGAUUUCCAAGGCCAUGCUCAUGUGCCCACCGUGCUAAAUUUGGAGGGAAGCUGGGGAAAGAAAGGAGGGCCAGGAUUGUGAGAAAUGGUCAUUUAGGACUUGAGAAAUGUAUAAACCCGGAAGAAUGAUCAGAGUGCCUCCUCCGCUGAAAAUCCACAGCCAGGCAUGGACCCCUCCCCACCACCUCCUACUAUGGUACUUAAAGACCUCACCAUGAAAAACUGGAUUGCAUAAAGGACUGCUCCUGGACAGAGACCCCUGGCUUGUUAUAUUUGCACAACUGGACAGUUUUCAUGGCAUAGAUUGGAUGGACUCUGUCAGUGACAGGAGGCAAUGUCCCUCCUGAAGGAGGGAAGGGAGUCUCUUCACUAGCAAAUACUCCAGGUGAGCAAAGUGAGGGUUGGGUGGAUAAUGGGAAGGCAACACUAUGCUCCUGGCUUUAAGAUUUAUGGAUGGGCCCUGAAAGAAGUGUUUUAGCCUUUCUGUCCGUAAGAGCACAGAACAUCUAGUUUAGAUUUCUCCAAAGAGAAGGCAGAUCUCUCACAAGUUUACAUGGAGGCAGGGAUGAGAUAAAAGGGUGACAAUGAGGUAAAAAAGAGUGGAAAAACAAACAAACUGAAAAAGGUGCUGCCCGGCUCUACAUUGAAAGACCCUAAGAGUGUCCAGGCCUAAUAGCAUAUCUCUAAGUGUAAAGUCUCUGGGAUCCCAGCAGACUGACACUGUGAUAAAACUCUGUCACAGUUUCUCAGCCAUUGGGGAAAAAAAAAAGAUCCUGUGAUUCCAACCAUGGAACUGCUACUCAAAACAACUACAAGAAAGAGGAAGUAGAGACCACGCGAGGUAUUUCCGUGUAAGACUGUUCCACCUUGAGAAAAGAAGCAAAAUGUGGAAAUGGGUCCUUCGCUGGAGAAUGGAUUAAAGAGUCUUUGGUCUCUUUCUGAAUUGUGCUACUUAAUUUAUCAUCACCACCAUCAUCAUCAUCUUUGUUGUCAUCAUCUCCAUCACCCGUGCUUCCUACAUGCCAGAAGUGUUGUGUUCCCUGGUUGAUCUCAUUUAAUUCUUCUGACAGCAAUAUGAGAGAUUUUGCAAUACUAAUGACAAAGAAAGCCUGGUGGAAUCACCUACUGGGAAGGCAGUGGUCCAGCUUUGGGCCUUGGCAGCUAUGCAGAGCAUUGCAGUGAGAAGCUGCUGUCUUGGGGGAGCUUUACUGCUUUUGGAGAUUUAAUACUGAUCUUGAACUUGAGGUGUGUCUGCAUGAACUUCUAUGCACCAGAAACUUUCAUUUCAAUGCUGAAAUGUGGGGUGACUUACAGGAAUUGAAAGGGUUGGGCCAGGAUGAAGGGUCGACAGAUCAAAACAUGGAUUUGAUGGAGCUAAAUCCCAGCUACUAGAUAUUUACACAUGUACAUGUGGCUCAUAUUACGUCUUUGUUGGAUGCCAAUGCUCUUGAGGCCUUUGCUGAAUGAACUCAUGGGCUAAUCGAGCACCACGGAGAUAUUCAAGUCCACCUCUCAUUUCAUGAAUGAUGAUCUGAGAGCUAAAGUUCUCCCAAACCUCACACCUGGCUGGACAAGAACUCUGGUUGGCCUGUGCUCUCAGCCCGUGGCAGUUCCAGUACACAUUUGGACCCAGGCUCCUGGAUUUUGACUGGCUCUUCCACCUGCUCACCUGCUCCAGCCCUGAGGCAAGAAUGGCUGUGCUACCCAUGUCACCACACCUGAAGCACCCAGCUGCCCUUCCAGGACCAGCCUCAAAUCCAGGUAUCCUGAGUCAGGCCAAGGUCUGUCUUGGAGGAGCAGGGCUAGAAGGGCCUGAAGUAACGGCACAGGUGGACCCCCAGGACAGGUGGAGCCAGCUGUCUCCGCUCUGCCGCUUGACCCAGAAGGCUCAAGAGCCCUGGAUGCUGAGCAUGAACUUGGAGAGUGAACAUGAGGAUGGUGGAAAGAGAGGAGCCAAAGGGGUGGCUCUCAGGACCAUCCUGACUUGUCAUGGCAGCAGACACUCAGCACGAGGGAAGGGAAAUUCUCUGACUCCUCUAGUGCCAGGGACAUGGGGAAGAAGGCCAGCUGAGAAAGAUAAGAUUCAAAAGCACCCAACCCAGGACUCCCCUGGAGCAAGCACGACUCCCAGUGCCCUCUCCGGGGACAUCUCCUACAAGUGGUUUCAUAGGACGCAGCCUCCUAGGGACUCAUUACCUCCUGGCCACGAUGGAGACUUCAGGGCAAACCUAGACGCUGCCUUGGGUGUCCCAUCCAAUUUCCCUGGUUCUGGAAGGUAUUUCUGUACGCAGGAAGGUGUAGACACGUCCCCAGACAGCUCCUCUCUGGCGUGUGUCCCCAAGGUGGGGGGCAACUGGGACCUCUCCACGCAGAGGACACAAGCAUCAGCCAAGGGAUCGGCCAGCUUGGCCGCAGCGGCGCUGGCCAAAGUGCAGAAGGGGUUUAAGGACUUGAACCUGGCGGGUGCGGGGGAGGGCCGGCAGAACAAGGCGCGUCCCUAUAACUGCCUGCCCGGCGGGGCCUUCCAAAAGCCCAGCCAUCCACUGGGCCCCACACAGACGCCCGGCACCAGGCCUUAUGCGGGCAAGCUGUGCGAGAAGACUUACUCCCACCGGGGCACGCUCCAGCAGCACCAGCUCCUGCACACGGGCGAGCGGCCCUACCAGUGCCCCUUCUGCGACAAGGCCUGCACCUGGUCCUCGGACCACCGCAAGCACAUCCGCACGCACACGGGCGAGAAACCCUACCCGUGCCCGGACUUCGGGAAGGCCUUCGUGCGCUCCUCUGACCCGCGCAAACACCAGCGCAAUAUGCACAGCAACAAGCCCUUGCCUUGUGCCGAGGGCGGCCUGACCUUCAACAAGCCGCUCUCGCUCCUGUGCCACCAGCGCACACCCCUGGUCGAGAAGCCUUUCUGCUGCCCCGCCCGCGACCGGGAGGUCGCCGUGGCCAGCCGGAUGAUGGAGCACCAGCGCGUGCACUCGGGCGAGCGGCCCUGCCCCUGCCCCACCGACGGCAAGUGCUUCACCAAAUCCUCCAACCUGAUGGAGCACCAGACGCUGCACCCGGGCCAGCGGCCCUUCAAGUGCGCCGACUGCGGCGUGGCCUUCGAGCAGCCCUCGCGCGCCACCCGCGCAUCCACACGGGCAAGAGGCCCUUUCCCUGCGCACAGUGUGGUCAGGCCUUUGCGCGCUCCUCCACCCUGAAGCGGCACCAGCAGAUCCACUCUGGGCAGAAGGGCUUCCUCUGCGCCGAGUGUGGCCGGGCCUUCCACAUUGCCUCGGAGCUGGCCCCGUACAUUCGCGUGCACAACGGCGGCGAGUGGCCUUAUCAGUGUGGGGACUGCGGCCAGGCCUUUACCCGCUCCAACCACCUCCAACGACACCGAGCCAAGCACCGCAGCUGCAAGAAGGAGCCCAUCCCUUCCUGCGCUGAUGAAUGCAAAUACUGAGAAGGCAUUGGACCUGGACCUCUCUCUAAAGAAAGCACUUCUGAUCGUACCAAAAUUAAAGACGAUAUUCUGCAAAAAGGUACUGUAUUCUCCUUUUGAGAAUAUCUAUAGUAUAUUUCUUAAAUUGCGACCAAAGCCUGCCAAAUCUGAAGUUCUCUUGGUUUCCUCUUGGUUUGGACUCAGGGAGUGACUGCUAUUGGCCAAAUAGGAAUGAUAAUAAUGGAAUCAUAAAAGUGAGCACAAUCCUACCAGGAGAAGAACUUCAAAUGCAAAAGCAUUAGAUAGAGAAGUUCUGACCAUCAGCCGUAACCUUGUGACUAUGCAGAGAGUAAAGGCUAGUAUAUUUUUUUUCUGGGUAAUCAGUGAAAUGUUUGAAAACUCUAAUAUUCCUUUUACCCUUGUGUUCUCUUAAGAUGGUAUUUAGUACAGUUUUUCCUAGUUACAAAAUUUGGUUGGGCUAUCGUUUCUUAAGUCGGUUGUUCCCCAAACCAGUUCAUAAAUGGCUAUAUGGACAUCACCUGGAUGGAGUUCCCACUGUGGCCCAUCUAGUUAAGAACCCGAUAUGAUGUCAUGAGGCUGCCGGUUUGAUCCUUGGCCUCGUUCAGUGGGUUAAGGAUCUGGCUUUGCCAUAAGCUGCAGCAUAGGUUACAGAGGUGGCUCAGAUCUGGCAUUGCUGUACCCAUGGCAUAGGUGGGCAGCUGCAGCUCCGAUUUCACUCCUAGCCUGGAAACUUCCAUAUGCUACACAUGUGGCCAUUAAAAAAUAAAGUUAAAAAAGAAAUCACCUGGAUGUUUGUUCGCCACAAACUCCUGAAUCUUCACCUUGAAUAUUGAUACAGCUCUGCAGUGCAUCUUGGAAUCUAAUUUUUAAAGCUUCUUAUGUGUUCUUUCUUUCUUUCUU